RNAcentral lists this transfer RNA (66 nucleotides) under Cryptorhamphus sp. RNAcentral describes it as "tRNA-Leu". The record is from RNAcentral. Lineage: Eukaryota; Metazoa; Arthropoda; Insecta; Hemiptera; Cryptorhamphidae.
UCUAAUAUGGCAGAAUAGUGCAAUGAAUUUAAGCUUCAUAUAUAAAGAAUAUUUCUUUUAUUAGAA